This 157-nucleotide ribosomal RNA is filed under the name Armillaria aotearoa. RNAcentral's name for it is "5.8S ribosomal RNA". It matches the Rfam family "5.8S ribosomal RNA". Rfam says of the family: 5.8S ribosomal RNA (5.8S rRNA) is a component of the large subunit of the eukaryotic ribosome. It is transcribed by RNA polymerase I as part of the 45S precursor that also contains 18S and 28S rRNA. Functionally, it is thought that 5.8S rRNA may be involved in ribosome translocation. The record is from RNAcentral. Lineage: Eukaryota; Fungi; Basidiomycota; Agaricomycetes; Agaricales; Physalacriaceae.
CAACUUUCAACAACGGAUCUCUUGGCUCUCGCAUCGAUGAAGAACGCAGCGAAAUGCGAUAACUAAUGUGAAUUGCAGAAUUCAGUGAAUCAUCGAGUCUUUGAACGCACCUUGCGCCCUUUGGUAUUCCAAAGGGCAUGCCUGUUUGAGUGUCAUU